ACAGCAGGCAACAGAGAGGAGACAGGAUACAGUAGAGAGGAGACAGGAGACAGUAGAGAGGAGACAGGAGACAGGAGACAGGAGACAGUAGAGAGGAGACAGGAGACAGUAGAGAGGAGACAGGAGACAGUAGAGAGGAGAGAGUAGAGAGGAGACAGGAGACAGUAGAGAGGAGACAGGAGACAGCAGAGAGGAGACAGCAGAGAGGAGACAGCAGACAGGAGACACUAGAGAGGAGACAGGAGGCAGCAGACAGGAGACAGUAGAGAGGAGACAGGAGGCAGCAGACAGGAGACAGUAGAGAGGAGACAGGAGGCAGCAGACAGGAGACAGUAGAGAGGAGACAGCAGACAGUAGAGAGGAGACAGGAGAGAGGAGACAGCAGGCGGCAGAGAGGAGACAGCAGACAGGAGACAGGAUACAGUAGAUAGGAGACAGCAGAGAGGAGAAAGGAGUCAGCAGGCAACAGAGAGGAGACAGUAGGCAGGAGAGAGGAGACAGGAAACAGCAGACAGGAGACAGCAGAGAGGAGACAGCAGGCAGCAGAGAGGAGACAUGAUACAGUAGAUAGGAGACAGCAGGCAGCAGAGAGGAGACAGGAUACAGUAGAUAGGAGACAGCAGAGAGGAGAGAGCAGAGAGGAGACAGCAGAGAGGAGACAGGAGGCCGCAGAGAGGAGGCAGGAGACAGCAGAGAGGAGACAGCAGGCAGCACAGCGGAGACAGGAGACAGCAGAGGAGACAGGAGCCAGCAGAGGAGACAGCAGGCAGCAGAGGAGACAGUAGGCAGCAGAGGAGACAGGAGACAGCAGAGAGGAGACGGGAGCCAGCAGAUGAGACAGCAGGCAGCAGAGGAGACAGCAGGCAGCACAGAGGAGACAGGAGACAGCAGAGGGGAAACAGCAGAUGAGACAGCAGGCAGCAGAGGAGACAGGAGACAGCAGAGAGGAGACAGCAGGCAGCACAGAGGAGACAGCAGAGAGGAGACAGCAGGCAGCAGAGAGGAGACAGGAGACCGCAGAGAGGAGACAGGAGACCGCAGAGAGGAGACAGCAGGCAGCACAGAGGAGACAGCAGGCAGCACAGAGGAGACAGGAGACAGCGGGCAGCAGAGAGGAGACAGGACACAGCACAGAGGAGACAGCAGGCAGCAGAGAAGAGACAGUAGAGGAGACAGGAGACCGCAGAGAGGAGACAGCAGGCAGCACAGAGGAGACAGCAGGCAGCACAGAGGAGACAGGAGACAGCGGGCAGCAGAGAGGAGACAGGACACAGCACAGAGGAGACAGGAGACAGCAGGCAGCAUAGAGGAGACAGCAGAGAGGAGACAGCAGGCAGCAGGCAGCAGAAACAGGAGACAGCAGGCAGCAGAGAGGAGACAGGACACAGCACAGAGGAGACAGGAGACAGCAGGCAGCAUAGAGGGGACAGGAGACAGCAGGCAGCAGAGAGAGGAGACAGGAGACAGCACAGAGGAGACAGGAGACAGCAGGCAGCAGAAACAGGAGACAGCAGGCAGCAGAGAGGAGACAGGACACAGCACAGAGGAGACAGGAGACAGCAGGCAGCAUAGAGGAGACAGGAGACAGCACAGAGGAGACAGGAGACAGCAGGCAGCAGAAACAGGAGACAGCAGGCAGCAGAGAGGAGACAGGACACAGCACAGAGGAGACAGGAGACAGCAGGCAGCAUAGAGGAGACAGGAGACAGCACAGAGGAGACAGGAGACAGCAGGCAGCAGAAACAGGAGACAGCAGGCAGCAGAGAGGAGACAGAAGACUGAAAUCUUCCAGCCCAGCCCUCCCAAAGGUUUCUGGGAAAACAACUAGGGAGGUCUAAAAAUGUGCCUGAUGCAUUAGCCAAGACCUAGAUCCAUUAUAAUUAAAGUAUUGCGCAGACAGAACCCAGGAGGUUCACGUCUUGAAUGAAAUCUUCCAGCCCAGCCCUCUCAAAGGCUUCUGGGAAAACAAGUCUCCAGUUGGGGCCUUCCACUUUUACACUGGAACUCGGGAGGUCUAGAAAUGUGCCUGACGCAUUAGCCAAGACCUCGAUCCAUCAUUGUGAACGCUAACUAAGCUAACUAGGCCAGUAAACCAGAAAAAUGAAUGACCUGUGUUUGAGAUGGGACGAAAAGCUCUGGAUCGCAUUCAUUAUAGCACAUCAUAGCAAAAGUUUUGCAAAGGAAAAUAAAAAUGAGUGUUUAUAUUGAAGUUCAGAUAGUCCCUCCCUGUUUCAGUAUGGCUUCUUGCUUUGGUGCCUAAUGAAUAAGACCUUUGUCAAGUCUCUUAGCCCUUAAAGACCCAGCGUCAGUUUUCUUCUGUGAGCGAACGCAAAGCCUUUCAGCUGGUUUUAAUUAACUCAACCAGAGACAAUGAUUAAUUACAAUGAGUGCAAAGACUUUUUACUGAGGAUACUGACAAAGACUGGAGAACUUCACACUGGGGGAUUUUAAUACAGACACAGAAGUAGGUCUAACACACACACACACACACACACACACACACACACACACACACACACACACACACACACACACAGUGGUACAAACUCUGAGACCCUCUCCAUUUUAACAAUGUACAAACAACCAAUUGAAAGUGGGCUUUGGAUGUUCAAUGCAGACGAAACAUGUGUUCAGUGGUUAUAGGUUUCAACCAUCAUAAUCAUUCCCAGAUCCACAGCCUUUACCGGUUGGGCUUUGACACACAGAGGGAUACAGAGAGAGAGGAAGCAUGGUGAGACAGGCAGGGUGGUAUAAGGAGACAGGCAGCGUGGGAUAAGGAGACAGGCGGCGUGGUAUAAGGAGGCAGGCGGCGUGGUAUAAGGAGGCAGGCGGCGUGGUAUAAGGAGGCAGGCAGCGUGGUAUAAGGAGGCAGGCAGCGUGGUAUAAGGAGACAGGCGGCGUGGUAUAAGGAGGCAGGCAGCGUGGUAUAAGGAGG
Oncorhynchus tshawytscha (Chinook salmon) is the source of this 2935-nucleotide long non-coding RNA. The record is from Ensembl. Lineage: Eukaryota; Metazoa; Chordata; Actinopteri; Salmoniformes; Salmonidae.